UAUUAAAAAACGCCUAAUUUCUAUUGAAAGCGGGGGAACCAGUUAUUAUGGGGUGAACUACCAGUGUGUAGCGGGCUAACUUUCUGUCCGAACCCGUCAGCUAACUCCGUAGGCGUAGAAAGUGGGGAAAU
This 131-nucleotide small RNA is filed under the name Desulforamulus reducens. RNAcentral's name for it is "Desulfotomaculum reducens c-di-AMP sequence". It matches the Rfam family "c-di-AMP riboswitch aptamer (ydaO/yuaA leader)". From Rfam's summary of the family: This family represents a conserved RNA structure found upstream of the ydaO and yuaA genes in Bacillus subtilis and related genes in other bacteria. The ydaO/yuaA element is thought to act as a genetic "off" switch for the ydaO and yuaA genes in its native state. It is believed that the element may be triggered during osmotic shock leading to activation of ydaO, a predicted amino acid transporter gene, and members of the yuaA-yubG operon which code for KtrA and KtrB K+ transporters. RNAcentral also lists the same sequence under 1 other name. Lineage: Bacteria; Bacillati; Bacillota; Clostridia; Eubacteriales; Peptococcaceae. The record is from RNAcentral.